UACGAAGGGUGCAAACGUUGCUCGGAAUUAUUGGGCGUAAAGCGCACGUAGGCGGCUUUGCAAGUCCCAUGUGAAAGCCCACGGCUUAACCGUGGAAGUGCAUGGGAAACUGCAGAGCUUGAGUACUUAAGAGGAUCGCGGAAUUCCCGGUGUAGAGGUGAAAUUCGUAGAUAUCGGAAGGAACAUCAGUGGCGAAAGCGGCUUCCUGGACCAGCACCGACGUUCAGGCACGAAAGCGUGGGGAGCAAACAGG
Molecule: ribosomal RNA, 253 nt
Filed under: uncultured bacterium
Lineage: Bacteria
Description: partial 16S ribosomal RNA
Rfam family: Bacterial small subunit ribosomal RNA
Source: RNAcentral